AACGAACGCUGGCGGCAUGCCUAACACAUGCAAGUCGAACGAGACCUUCGGGUCUAGUGUCGCACGGGUGCGUAACGCGUGGGAACCUGCCCUUAGGUUCGGAAUAACUCCCCGAAAGGGGUGCUAAUACCGGAUAAUGUCUUCGGACCAAAGAUUUAUCGCCGUUGGAUGGGCCCGCGUUGGAUUAGCUUGUUGGUAGGGUAAAAGCCUACCAAGGCGACGAUCCAUAGCUGGUCUGAGAGGAUGAUCAGCCACACUGGGACUGAGACACGGCCCAGACUCCUACGGGAGGCAGCAGUGGGGAAUAUUGGACAACGGGCGAAAGACUGAUCCAGCAAUGCCGCGUGAGUGAUGAAGGCCUUAGGGUUGUAAAGCUCUUUUACCCGGGAUGAUAAUGACAGUACCGGAAGAGUAAGCGCCGGCUAACUCCGUG
Molecule: ribosomal RNA, 433 nt
Filed under: uncultured bacterium
Lineage: Bacteria
Description: partial 16S ribosomal RNA
Rfam family: Bacterial small subunit ribosomal RNA
Source: RNAcentral